CAUAAGGCCCUCUUCAGGGCCACCGCACCUCAAGCUGCAGUGUGAC
Operophtera brumata (winter moth) is the source of this 46-nucleotide non-coding RNA. The record is from Rfam. NCBI's taxonomy places the organism in Eukaryota, Metazoa, Arthropoda, Insecta, Lepidoptera, Geometridae.